This is a long non-coding RNA of Peromyscus californicus insignis, 937 nucleotides long. RefSeq lists it as uncharacterized. The record is from RefSeq and is a predicted model, not a curated record. NCBI's taxonomy places the organism in Eukaryota, Metazoa, Chordata, Mammalia, Rodentia, Cricetidae. The transcript is spliced from 3 exons.
GCAUCAACUGGACUGGAGUCUGGGUUCUUGGGGCGCCCACUUGAGACCCUAAACUUUGGGGUCCAACAUUGGAGGUCCCACUGAGAUUUUUGGGGUGCUCCCAGACCCCCACUCUGCCAGUUGGAGUCCUUCCAGAGGAUCGAUCCUCCCGGAAAAAAAUCCUCCAAGAAGGCGACAGAGGCGAACUCUCCCGGCCGAGACCGAUCCUCCCGGAAAAAAAUCCUCCAAGAAGGCGACAGAGGCGAACUCUCCCGGCCGAGACCACUCUCCCUGCCGGGAUCCCUUCCUUCACCCAAGCAGCGGCCGGGGCUCCCGCCGUGAUGGGGCUGAGGAGAGAAGAGACACUGGCUAGGCUGCCUGUAAGCAUCAGGGCAGAGCUGGCCAGGAGCCAGCUGGAGCCUCUAGGAGCUCAGAAUGUGGGGAUGGUGGAAAACUAACUGCCCUUCCAGUGUCACAGCUGACAGGUCUGUGGGCCCAGCCAGGGCAUGGAAUCUCCCAUGCUGUUGGAUGGGGCUCCAAAAACCGGCCCUGGGGCUAAAACCUGAUCAGGGUCUGGCUCAAAGAAUGGAAUGUCACUCCCUAUAUGAGGCGAUGAUGUAAAAGUUGACAAUAGAGGCAAAAGAUGCCUAGCUCCCCAGCGUCUGGAGAUCACAGUAACCACACAGAAAACUAUGUGAAAUGCUCUAGAUAUGAAAUAAGGAAGAAUCUUCUGGAUUUCAGGCAAGUGCUGUAGAUUGCUUUGCUCCUGGAUGCUGUGUGGUUUUCUUAUUUCUAAUAUAUUUUUAGGUGAAAUAAAAUUGGACCACUUUCUUCUCCCUUUCCUCUUUACAGGUCCUUUUUAUAUAGGCUGCCAGUAGAUCAUGUAGGCAGGGUGUAAGGUGAUCUGAACACUCCAGAACAUCCUGGUUUUGGUGGGUCUUCCCACUUUAAAUGAUUC